UUAUAGCUAGUGAUAUAUUAUUGUGUAAGCUUCUAUCUAUCAACUUCUAGAAACGUAAUUAUAUUCUUCAAAGUGGAAAUGGAAGCAUUUAAAUUUAAUAAGUUAUUGGUUUGAUUUAAGUUUUGCUUUUGGUUAAAAAUAUCAUUCUAUUAAAGUGAGGAAAUGAUGAUCCUCGAUAAUGCGCAAGCAUGCAUAGGAAGACCCAGUUUGGGCUAGAUUGCCUGUUUUGGGAGGCAAUGGUGUCUUGCUGUGAAGUUUCUUGUUGCUAGCUAUACAUCAUGAGUGGUCCAUGAAAUUUCACAUUUUUUCAUUGGUGCAAGUAUCAGGAUAUUUUUGGGGAUAAGUAAAGGAUCUCUGGACCUUCAUGAUCUUUUUGUGGGGUGUUUGAUGUGGUUGCUGUCCAUUGGACUUCUGGAUCUGGAAAUCAAGAUGUUCUUGUUGGCUAUUCUUAAGUUUUAUUCCCUGUUAGUGAUUUUCUUCUAGCUUUUGUUUUUCCCUUCUUGUUAUGUUCUAUUGCUUCCUGUACAUAUUUUUGACGGGUUCCCUCUGCUUGCUUCACUUUUGGCUAACAAGCUAAAAUCUUGCA
Molecule: unclassified non-coding RNA, 586 nt
Filed under: Hevea brasiliensis (rubber tree)
Lineage: Eukaryota; Viridiplantae; Streptophyta; Magnoliopsida; Malpighiales; Euphorbiaceae
Source: RNAcentral